CCUACGGGAGGCAGCAGUGGGGAAUAUUGCACAAUGGGGGGAACCCUGAUGCAGCGACGCCGCGUGAGUGAAGAAGUAUUUCGGUAUGUAAAGCUCUAUCAGCAGGGAAGAAGAUGACGGUACCUGACUAAGAAGCCCCGGCUAACUACGUGCCAGCAGCCGCGGGAAUACGUAGGGGGCAAGCGUUAUCCGGAUUUACUGGGUGUAAAGGGAGCGUAGACGGCAGGGCAAGUCUGGAGUGAAAGCCCGGGGCCCAACCCCGGGACUGCUUUGGAAACUGCCAUGCUAGAGUGCUGGAGAGGUAAGCGGAAUUCCUAGUGUAGCGGUGAAAUGCGUAGAUAUCACGAAGAACUCCGAUUGCGAAGGCAGCUUACUAAACUGCCACUGACAUUGAUGCUCGAAAGUGUGGGUAUCAAACAGGAUUAGAUACCCUGGUAGUC
Molecule: ribosomal RNA, 440 nt
Filed under: uncultured bacterium
Lineage: Bacteria
Description: partial 16S ribosomal RNA
Rfam family: Bacterial small subunit ribosomal RNA
Source: RNAcentral